This 425-nucleotide ribosomal RNA is filed under the name uncultured microorganism. RNAcentral's name for it is "bacterial SSU rRNA". It matches the Rfam family "Archaeal small subunit ribosomal RNA", at positions 330 to 745 of the family's 1478-position model. The record is from RNAcentral.
GCGCACCAGUCGAGAAACCUCCGCAAUACGGGAAACCGUGACGGGGUCAUCCUGAGUGCUACCCGCAGAGGGUAGCUUUUCCCUGGUCUAAAAAGCCAGGGGAAUAAGCGGGGGGCAAGACUGGUGUCAGCCGCCGCGGUAAUACCAGCCCCGCGAGUGAUCGGGACGAUUAUUGGGCCUAAAAGCAUCCGUAAGCCGGCCCAAACAAGUCUUCUCUGAAAAUCCUACGGCUCAACCGUAGGGCUGGAGAAGAUACUGUUGGGCUAGGGGGUGGGAGAGGGCCGAGGGGCACUCUCGGGGUAGGGGCGAAAAUCCUAUAAUCCCGAGAGGACCACCAGUGGCGAAGGCGCUCGGCUGGAACACGCCCGACGGUGACGGGAUGAAAGCUGGGGGAGCGAAAAGGGGAUUAGGAAUACCCCCGUAGU